This 402-nucleotide ribosomal RNA is filed under the name uncultured bacterium. Its description in RNAcentral is "partial 16S ribosomal RNA". It matches the Rfam family "Bacterial small subunit ribosomal RNA", at positions 355 to 774 of the family's 1533-position model. The record is from RNAcentral.
UGGGGAAUUUUGCGCAAUGGGCGAAAGCCUGACGCAGCAACGCCGCGUGCGGGACGAAGGCCUUAGGGUCGUAAACCGCUUUCAGCAGGGACGAAACUGACUGUACCUGCAGAAGAAGCUCCGGCUAACUACGUGCCAGCAGCCGCGGUAAUACGUAGGGAGCAAGCGUUAUCCGGAUUUAUUGGGCGUAAAGCGCGCGUAGGCGGCUUGUUAAGUCAGGUGUGAAAGCCGGGGGCUCAACCCGCGGAUUGCAUCUGAAACUGGCAGGCUUGAGUGUGGUAGAGGAAAGUGGAAUUCCCGGUGUAGCGGUGAAAUGCGCAGAUAUCGGGAGGAACACCAGUGGCGAAGGCGGCUUUCUGGGCCACCACUGACGCUGAGGCGCGAAAGCUAGGGGAGCGAACA